ACGCACGCUGGCGGCGUGCUUCACCCAUGCAAGUCGCACGGAAAGGCCCUGCUUUUGUGGGGUGCUCGAGUGGCGAACGGGUGAGCAACACGUGAGUAACCUGCCCUUGACUUUGGGAUAACUUCAGGAAACUGGGGCUAAUACCGGAUAGGAGCUCCUGCUGCAUGGUGGGGGUUGGAAAGUUUCGGCGGUUGGGGAUGGACUCGCGGCUUAUCAGCUUGUUGGUGGGGUAGUGGCUUACCAAGGCUUUGACGGGUAGCCGGCCUGAGAGGGUGACCGGCCACAUUGGGACUGAGAUACGGCCCAGACUCCUACGGGAGGCAGCAGUGGGGAAUAUUGCACAAUGGGCGGAAGCCUGAUGCAGCAACGCCGCGUGCGGGAUGACGGCCUUCGGGUUGUAAACCGCUUUCGCCUGUGACGAAGCGUGAGUGACGGUAAUGGGUAAAGAAGCACCGGCUAACUACGUG
RNAcentral lists this ribosomal RNA (467 nucleotides) under uncultured bacterium. Its description in RNAcentral is "partial 16S ribosomal RNA". It matches the Rfam family "Bacterial small subunit ribosomal RNA", at positions 29 to 507 of the family's 1533-position model. The record is from RNAcentral.